Molecule: ribosomal RNA, 793 nt
Filed under: Escherichia coli
Lineage: Bacteria; Pseudomonadati; Pseudomonadota; Gammaproteobacteria; Enterobacterales; Enterobacteriaceae
Description: partial 23S ribosomal RNA
Rfam family: Bacterial large subunit ribosomal RNA
Source: RNAcentral
UUGUGAGCUCGAUGAGUAGGGCGGGACACGUGGUAUCCUGUCUGAAUAUGGGGGGACCAUCCUCCAAGGCUAAAUACUCCUGACUGACCGAUAGUGAACCAGUACCGUGAGGGAAAGGCGAAAAGAACCCCGGCGAGGGGAGUGAAAAAGAACCUGAAACCGUGUACGUACAAGCAGUGGGAGCACGCUUAGGCGUGUGACUGCGUACCUUUUGUAUAAUGGGUCAGCGACUUAUAUUCUGUAGCAAGGUUAACCGAAUAGGGGAGCCGAAGGGAAACCGAGUCUUAACUGGGCGUUAAGUUGCAGGGUAUAGACCCGAAACCCGGUGAUCUAGCCAUGGGCAGGUUGAAGGUUGGGUAACACUAACUGGAGGACCGAACCGACUAAUGUUGAAAAAUUAGCGGAUGACUUGUGGCUGGGGGUGAAAGGCCAAUCAAACCGGGAGAUAGCUGGUUCUCCCCGAAAGCUAUUUAGGUAGCGCCUCGUGAAUUCAUCUCCGGGGGUAGAGCACUGUUUCGGCAAGGGGGUCAUCCCGACUUACCAACCCGAUGCAAACUGCGAAUACCGGAGAAUGUUAUCACGGGAGACACACGGCGGGUGCUAACGUCCGUCGUGAAGAGGGAAACAACCCAGACCGCCAGCUAAGGUCCCAAAGUCAUGGUUAAGUGGGAAACGAUGUGGGAAGGCCCAGACAGCCAGGAUGUUGGCUUAGAAGCAGCCAUCAUUUAAAGAAAGCGUAAUAGCUCACUGGUCGAGUCGGCCUGCGCGGAAGAUGUAACGGGGCUAAACCAUG